GUGACCUCAAAUCAGGUAGGACUACCCGCUGAACUUAAGCAUAUCAAUAAGCGGAGGAAAAGAAACUAACAAGGAUUCCCCUAGUAACUGCGAGUGAAGCGGGAAAAGCUCAAAUUUAAAAUCUGGCAGUCUUUGGCUGUCCGAGUUGUAAUCUAGAGAAGUGCUAUCCGCGCUGGACCGUGUACAAGUCUCCUGGAAUGGAGCGUCAUAGAGGGUGAGAAUCCCGUCUUUGACACGGACUGCCAGGGCUUUGUGAUGCGCUCUCAAAGAGUCGGGUUGUUUGGGAAUGCAGCUCAAAAUGGGUGGUAAAUUCCAUCUAAAGCUAAAUAUUGGCGAGAGACCGAUAGCGAACAAGUACCGUGAGGGAAAGAUGAAAAGAACUUUGGAAAGAGAGUUAAACAGUACGUGAAAUUGCUGAAAGGGAAACGCUUGAAGUCAGUCGCGUUGUCCAGGGAUCAACCUUGCUUUUGCUUGGUGCACUUUCUGGUUGACGGGUCAGCAUCAAUUUUGAUUAUUGGAAAAAGAUUAGGGGAAUGUGACAUCUUCGGAUGUGUUAUAGCCCUUGGUUGCAUACAAUGGUUGGGAUUGAGGAACUCAGCACGCCGCAAGGCCGGGUUUUCAAACCACGUACGUGCUUAGGAUGCUGGCAUAAUGGCUUUAAUCGACCCGU
Molecule: ribosomal RNA, 670 nt
Filed under: Cortinarius acutus
Lineage: Eukaryota; Fungi; Basidiomycota; Agaricomycetes; Agaricales; Cortinariaceae
Description: eukaryotic LSU rRNA
Rfam family: Eukaryotic large subunit ribosomal RNA
Source: RNAcentral